This 506-nucleotide ribosomal RNA is filed under the name uncultured bacterium. Its description in RNAcentral is "partial 16S ribosomal RNA". It matches the Rfam family "Bacterial small subunit ribosomal RNA", at positions 29 to 523 of the family's 1533-position model. The record is from RNAcentral.
AUUGAACGCUGGCGGCAGGCCUAACACAUGCAAGUCGAGCGGCAGCGGGAAAGUAGCUUGCUACUUUUGCCGGCGAGCGGCGGACGGGUGAGUAAUGCCUGGGGAUCUGCCCAGUCGAGGGGGAUAACUACUGGAAACGGUAGCUAAUACCGCAUACGCCCUACGGGGGAAAGCAGGGGACCUUCGGGCCUUGCGCGAUUGGAUGAACCCAGGUGGGAUUAGCUAGUGGGUGGGGUAAUGGCUCACCAAGGCGACGAUCCCUAGCGGGUCUGAGAGGAUGAUCAGCCACACUGGAACUGAGACACGGUCCAGACUCCUACGGGAGGCAGCAGUGGGGAAUAUCGCACAAUGGGGGAAACCCUGAUGCAGCCAUGCCGCGUGUGUGAAGAAGGCCUUCGGGUUGUAAAGCACUUUCAGCGAGGAGGAAAGGUUGGUAGCUAAUAACUGCCAGCUGACGUUACUCGCAGAAGAAGCACCGGCUAACUCCGUGCCAGCAGCCGCCGUAA